RNAcentral lists this ribosomal RNA (1477 nucleotides) under Nitrosomonas marina. Its description in RNAcentral is "bacterial SSU rRNA". It matches the Rfam family "Bacterial small subunit ribosomal RNA". Lineage: Bacteria; Pseudomonadati; Pseudomonadota; Betaproteobacteria; Nitrosomonadales; Nitrosomonadaceae. The record is from RNAcentral.
GCUGUCGGCAGGCCUUACACAUGCAAGUCGAGCGGUAACAGGGGUAGCUUGCUACCUGGUGACGAGCGGCGGACGGGUGAGUAAUGCAUCGGAAUCGUGUCCGAUAGUGGGGGAUAACGCUGGCGAAACCGAUGUGCUAAUACCGCAUACUUCUCUACAGGAGAAAAGCAGGGGAUCGUAAGACCUCCCGCUAUUGGAGUGAGCCGAUGUCGGAUUAGCUGGUUGGUGAGGUAAAGGCCUCACCAAGGCGACGAUCAGUAGUUGGUCUGAGAGGACGACCAGCCACACUGGGACUAAGACACGGCCCAGACUCCUACGGGAGGCAGCAGUGGGGAAUUUUGGACAAUGGGCGAAAGCCUGAUCCAGCAAUGCCGCGUGAGUGAAGAAGGCCUUCGGGUUGUAAAGCUCUUUCAGUCGAUGAAGAAAAGCAUUGUGAUGAAUACUCACAAGUCAUGACGGUCACUCGACAGAAGAAGCACCGGCUAACUACGUGCCAGCAGCCGCGGUAAUACGGAGGGUGCGAGCGUUAAUCGGAAUUACUGGGCGUAAAGGGUGCGCAGGCGGCUUUGAUAAGUCAGAUGUGAAAUCCCCGGGCUCAACCUGGGAAUUGCGUCCGAAACUGACAAAGCUAGAGUGUAGCAGAGGGGAGUGGAAUUCCAUGUGUAGCAGUGAAAUGCGUAGAGAUAUGGAAGAACAUCGAUGGCGAAGGCAGCUCCCUGGGUUAACACUGAAACGCUCAUGCACGAAAGCGUGGGGAGCAAACAGGAUUAGAUACCCUGGUAGUCCACGCCGUAAACGAUGUCAACUAGUCGUUGGGCCUUCCUAGGCACUUUGUAACGUAGCUAACGCGUGAAGUUGACCGCCUGGGGAGUACGGUCGCAAGAUUAAAACUCAAAGGAAUUGACGGGGGCCCGCACAAGCGGUGGAGCAUGUGGAUUAAUUCGAUGCAACGCGAAAAACCUUACCUACCCUUGACAUCGUAGCGAAUUUGGUAGAGAUACCUUAGUGCCUUCGGGAACGCUAGACACAGGUGCUGCAUGGCUGUCGUCAGCUCGUGUCGUGAGAUGUUGGGUUAAGUCCCGCAACGAGCGCAACCCUUGUCAUUAAUUGCCAGCUCAUUAGGUUGGGCACUUUAAUGAGACUGCCGGUGACAAACCGGAGGAAGGUGGGGAUGACGUCAAGUCCUCAUGGCCCUUAUGGGUAGGGCUUCACACGUGCUACAAUGGCGCGUACAGAGGGUUGCCAACCCGCGAGGGGGAGCUAAUCCCAGAAAGCGCGUCGUAGUCCGGAUCGGAGUCUGCAACUCGACUCCGUGAAGUCGGAAUCGCUAGUAAUCGCGGAUCAGAAUGUCGCGGUGAAUACGUUCCCGGGUCUUGUACACACCGCCCGUCACACCAUGGGAGUGGAUUUCACCAGAAGUGAGAUAGUCUAACCGCAAGGAGGGCGUUCACCACGGUGAGAUUCAUGACUGGGGUGA